UUCUGACAGAGGCAUUCCCUACCAGGA
RNAcentral lists this non-coding RNA (27 nucleotides) under Rattus norvegicus (Norway rat). The record is from RNAcentral. Lineage: Eukaryota; Metazoa; Chordata; Mammalia; Rodentia; Muridae.